Molecule: non-coding RNA, 72 nt
Organism: Phrynosoma platyrhinos (Desert horned lizard)
Lineage: Eukaryota; Metazoa; Chordata; Lepidosauria; Squamata; Phrynosomatidae
Source: the annotation of a GenBank genome assembly
GCCAGCAUGGUGUAGUGGGUUGGGUGUUAGACUAGGACUCUGGAGACCAAGGUUCAAAUCCCUGCUUCUGUA